Molecule: ribosomal RNA, 270 nt
Filed under: uncultured bacterium
Lineage: Bacteria
Description: partial 16S ribosomal RNA
Rfam family: Bacterial small subunit ribosomal RNA
Source: RNAcentral
GACGAACCGUGCGAACGUUAUUCGGAAUCACUGGGCUUAAAGCGCGUGUAGGCGGGACGCACGUCGGUCGCUGAAAUCCCCCCGGCUCAACCGGGGAACGGGCGCCGAUACGACCGCCCUGGAGGGGCGUAGGGGGACCUGGAACUUCCGGUGGAGCGGUGAAAUGCGUUGAGAUCGGAAGGAACGCCCGUGGCGAAAGCGAGGUCCUGGACGCCUACUGACGCUGAGACGCGAAAAGCCCAGGGGGGAGCCGGAAACGGGGAUUAAGAA